CAGAGGGUGCAAACGUUGUUCGGAAUUACUGGGCGUAAAGCGAGUGUAGGCGGUUUCCUAAGUCAGGUGUGAAAGCCCCGGGCUCAACCCGGGAAGUGCACUUGAAACUGGGAGGCUAGAGUAUCGGAGAGGUUGGUGGAAUUCUCGGUGUAGAGGUGAAAUUCGUAGAUAUCGAGAGGAACACCGGUGGCGAAGGCGGCCAACUGGACGAAUACUGACGCUGAGACUCGAAAGCGUGGGGAGCAAACAGGAUUAGAUACCCUGGUAGUCCACGCCGUAAACGAUGGGUGCUAGGUGUCGCGGGCUUUGACUCCCGCGGUGCCGUAGCUAACGCAUCAAGCACCCCGCCUGGGAAGUACGGCCGCAAGGCUA
This 372-nucleotide ribosomal RNA is filed under the name uncultured organism. RNAcentral describes it as "bacterial SSU rRNA". It matches the Rfam family "Bacterial small subunit ribosomal RNA", at positions 526 to 896 of the family's 1533-position model. The record is from RNAcentral.